GCGUCCGUAGCUCAUUUGACAGAGCGGUGGGAUGGUAUCCUACGGUCCCGGGUUCAAGUCGCGGCGGCCGCU
Molecule: non-coding RNA, 72 nt
Organism: Phthorimaea operculella (potato tuberworm)
Lineage: Eukaryota; Metazoa; Arthropoda; Insecta; Lepidoptera; Gelechiidae
Source: the annotation of a GenBank genome assembly